AGAAUCAACGCUGGCGGCGUGCCUAACACAUGCAAGUCGAACGAGAAAGUGGAGCAAUCCAUGAGUAAAGUGGCGCACGGGUGAGUAACACGUGACUAACCUACCCUUGAGUGGGGAUAACCUAGAGAAAUCUGGGCUAAUACCGCAUAAUACCUUCGGGUCAAAGGAGCAAUUCGCUUAAGGAGGGGGUCGCGGCCGAUUAGUUAGUUGGCGGGGUAAUGGCCCACCAAGACUGUGAUCGGUAUCC
RNAcentral lists this ribosomal RNA (247 nucleotides) under uncultured bacterium. RNAcentral's name for it is "partial small subunit ribosomal RNA". It matches the Rfam family "Bacterial small subunit ribosomal RNA", at positions 26 to 288 of the family's 1533-position model. The record is from RNAcentral.